AAAUGACUGAGCUGCUCCUCCUUGGUGUCUCCUGUUUUUCAUGGAGGGGCCUCGGAUCUUGCGUACUUACGGCCUCUGACUUGGCAAGAAAACAAACACGGGACACCUGCUGAUGAGGCAAUUGUGAAGAGUUGAAGAGGACUAUUUCCCACCGGCCGUUGACAGUGUCUUGAUUUACAUGAAGAACCUGGUGAAGAGACCAAACUAUGCUCUCCCAGUCUAUCAUUCUAGUGGCACCGGAAAUUGGAUUUGGCUCGGGAAACUUCCAGUCUUAAAUGGUUAAGCAUCCAGA
Nyctereutes procyonoides (raccoon dog) is the source of this 292-nucleotide long non-coding RNA. RefSeq lists it as uncharacterized. Lineage: Eukaryota; Metazoa; Chordata; Mammalia; Carnivora; Canidae. The transcript is spliced from 3 exons. The record is from RefSeq and is a predicted model, not a curated record.